UUUGAUUUAGCAUAACUUAAUGCGAAGAGUUUAAGCCUCUUAGAUUUUAAUUAAA
Molecule: transfer RNA, 55 nt
Filed under: Aleuroglyphus ovatus (brown legged grain mite)
Lineage: Eukaryota; Metazoa; Arthropoda; Arachnida; Sarcoptiformes; Acaridae
Description: tRNA-Leu
Source: RNAcentral